Molecule: long non-coding RNA, 1461 nt
Filed under: Olea europaea subsp. europaea
Lineage: Eukaryota; Viridiplantae; Streptophyta; Magnoliopsida; Lamiales; Oleaceae
Source: RNAcentral
CACACGGCACCAUUUGUAAGUAUGACUUGAAUUCCGCCUGAAACUCCUUCUCGACCUUAUUCCUUAACGCCCUUUCAUACUGUUCGACAAACUGUUUUAAAGAGGUCUUCGAGUGGACAUAUCCGUCGAAUAACGCAUUCAUACUUUCACUUCGUUGUGUCGUCGACAUCCCUGCCCAGAAAGUGGUUUUCAAGAAGCAAGGUACCCAUUUACGCCUGUUCUCAUACAGCCCCAACAACCAAUCAUUAUUGUGUAAGUCAAACCUGCAGAUCAUAUUGAUCCAGCCAUUUUCAAAUUCAUCCUCGUGUUGCGAAUCAUAUACUAGACCAUGCAUACAAGAAAAUAUUGAGCUUUUAUCACUGUGAUAGCCAAACUUUUCAGGCAACUUCUUCAUGAUGUGCCAUAAACACCAUCUGUGUUUCGCAUUUGGAAAGACAAUCGCAAUCGCAUUUUGCAUAGCCUUAUCUUGAUCAGUAAUAACUCCAUGGGGAGGUCAGCCAUGCAUGCACUCGAGCCAUGUCCUAAAUAGCCAUACGAACGUGUCCGUGUCCUCAUUGGACAGCAAACCACAACCAAGUAAUGUUGAUUGUCCGUGGUGAUUUACUCCAACAAAAGGUGCGAAAGGUAUAUCAUACUUAUUCGUGAGAUACGGGUAUCAAACGUGACAACAUCUCCGAACUCUUUGUAUGCUUGUCUAGACCUAUUAUCCGCCCAAAAUACAUUCUUUAGGCGUCCCUCGUCAUCUAAAUCCCGUACACUGUGACUGAUACUGAAAUAAAAUCCCGUACACUGUGACUGCAUCUUCGAAAAGUAUGAUUGCAAAGCUGCAGCAUCUCCUUUUCCUAGUCUUAAUCUUCUCACCCGUUCAAUAUAGUUCCGACAAUCCCUCUCAACGUAAGUCAUAUUUUCAUAUCCACCUGCUUCCACAACUGUGGAGUUGAAGCUUUUGUGAAGUAGAAUUCCUGCCACAUCAUUCACCUCAAGCUUCCUUUUCACAAUCGCACUUAGUUCUCUGUUGCAUCGAUAAAGUCUAGAUUUCGAAGGGCUUGUUCUGUGAUUGUGCUCAAGGUUCACGGUGUUGAUUCUCCAUUUUCCAAAGACAUCUACAGAUGCAGAUAUCCUCGCUUUACAAUCUAUUUGACUCCUUGGUUGUGGCUUCAAAACAGUGGUACUAUUAUUACUUCUUCGCCCUUCACGGCCACACGUGAAUGUCACAUAUCUAACUACUCCGUCGUCGUCCUUUUUUGAAUUCCUUCUCCUCACAGGAAAGCCAACGGCGUAAGCAUAUCUCUUGUAGAAGUCAAACAACUCUGUCUCACUCGCGAAUGUCAUUCCAAACUCAGGCAAUAGCUCUCCAUCUCCUCCUAACGAUUCAUUGCCAACAAUGUUGCUACUGUCCACAAAUAUCUCAUUUUCUGACUGCACCAUGGAAACAUCAUUCCUGUCUCCCAUCAUUUUGUG